CGUGCAAUGGUAAAGAACGAUAAAAUAACCGCAAUUCCGCCACAUGACCGAUGUCGGCCGAAAUUUCUCCAGCCGUAGCAAGCAAAGGUAAAUCCUCCCGGUCUAUUGUGGCCAGACCCGCCCCCGGUCUCUCCAGGCAGCCGGGCGUCCACGGAGGGGGUCCAAGAAACCAGUCCAUAGCAACGGUCCGCCAGCGGCUGCUGCUCUCUUCUCCCGUUCUUUUCCCCGAUGGGGAAAGGUGCGCUUCCCCGCCUGCUUGACCCUCGAUGUCGGAAGCUCUCAAAUAAUUGACGUAAAACAUUCGUUGUUGGUUCCGACGGUCUAUUGGGUCGCUCUCCGCUUCCCAGAAUUUGGUUUGCGAGGUUUUGUUUCUCUCCGUCAAUUCUUUUGA
This 391-nucleotide long non-coding RNA is filed under the name Phoenix dactylifera (date palm). RNAcentral describes it as "long non-coding RNA (PDAC_LNC013095)". The record is from RNAcentral. Lineage: Eukaryota; Viridiplantae; Streptophyta; Magnoliopsida; Arecales; Arecaceae.